AUGCUCUGGGCUCCCCUCAUUGUCCUGCUGGGGACGUGCUGCACAGGAUCUAGCUCGCAGAAUGUGCUGACUCAGCCGCCCUCAGCAUCAGUGUCCCCAGGAAACACCGUGAAACUCUCCUGCACCAUGAGCAGUGGGACCAGCAUCAGUGGCUACAAUGUGAGGUGGUUCCAACAGAAACCGGGGAAUUCCCCACGAUACCUGCUGAGAUACAAGUCAGAUUCUGACAAACACCAGGGCUCCGGGGUCCCUGCCCGGUUUUCUGGUUCCAAGGACACAUCCAGCAACACCGGCUAUUUGACCAUUUCUGGGGCCCUGGCGGAGGAUGAGGCUGACUAUUACUGUGCUGUGUGGCUCAGCAGCACCAUCCUCGGGUUGUGCAGAGCAGGGCUCAAGUGCAUCAAGGGGAUCUCAGUUCAGAAAGAGGUCCUGCAGGAGUAG
Pelodiscus sinensis (Chinese soft-shelled turtle) is the source of this 441-nucleotide non-coding RNA. The record is from the annotation of a RefSeq genome assembly. Lineage: Eukaryota; Metazoa; Chordata; Testudines; Trionychidae.